Molecule: microRNA precursor, 86 nt
Organism: Bos grunniens (domestic yak)
Lineage: Eukaryota; Metazoa; Chordata; Mammalia; Artiodactyla; Bovidae
Source: Ensembl
GGUACCUACCCCCACUGGGUUUUCUACAUUAAAAAGUAUAAAUUAAAUAAACUUUUUAAUGUAGAAAACCCAAUGGGGGUAGGUAC